UACGGAGGGUGCAAGCGUUGUUCGGAAUUACUGGGCGUAAAGGGCGUGUAGGCGGUUUGGCAAGUCAGAUGUGAAAGCCCUGGGCUUAACCCAGGAAGUGCAUUUGAAACUGCCAUACUUGAGUAUGGGAGAGGAGAGUGGAAUUCUCGGUGUAGAGGUGAAAUUCGUAGAUAUUGAGAGGAACACCCGUGGCGAAGGCGACUCUCUGGACCAAUACUGACGCUGAGACGCGAAAGCGUGGGGAGCAAACAGGAUUAGAUACCCGCGUA
RNAcentral lists this ribosomal RNA (269 nucleotides) under uncultured prokaryote. Its description in RNAcentral is "partial 16S ribosomal RNA". It matches the Rfam family "Bacterial small subunit ribosomal RNA", at positions 524 to 792 of the family's 1533-position model. The record is from RNAcentral.